Long non-coding RNA from Triticum dicoccoides, 807 nucleotides. RefSeq lists it as uncharacterized. The record is from RefSeq and is a predicted model, not a curated record. NCBI's taxonomy places the organism in Eukaryota, Viridiplantae, Streptophyta, Magnoliopsida, Poales, Poaceae. The transcript has 3 exons.
GGCAUGGAAAAGUGUUAGGACCAUUGUUGACGGGUGCUUUGCUAAGUUUAAGAUCGUUCCAGACGAGGCUACAAGAGGCUUCAUCUCAUCAAUUGGGAUUCUGACCAAAAACACUGAAGUUCUUUUUGCUGACUUCCCGGAUCAAUGGGACAACUCCAGGAAAGGAGCAUUCCUCAUGGAAUCUGCGCACAUACCAACAUUGUGUCCAGUACGUUCAAUGCUAAGGAUUCAGGUCUGAGGUGGCCACUUGGACAAGACGGAGAAACUCCGUGGGUGUUGCAACAGCUAAUUUAUCGUGGUCAAAAAUUCUCUCAGUACAAUAAGGAUUUUCCGUAUGACUACGUGAAGCUCUGCAGAAACACCUAUAAGCAUUUCGAUGAGUUGCCAAAAUACAUCAAGAACAAGCUUGGAGGGGAUAAAGAUGGACUUUUAAAUCAGAUGGAGAAAUGGACACCGGGCAUAUGGCGCAUCCUAUAUGUAGCAGUCCAUAAGAAUAAGAAAUGAUGUGUGGGUAGUAGCUGAUUAUGGAACGUACGUGCAUCAGUAAAACAGACAUAGACUUGGAGCUUAUUGGAUAGCACUGCUUAUGGUCAUUGAUUCCCAUACCUUUUGUUGGACUUGGAGCUUAUUACUUAGCACUUGCUUGUGUUUUAUUGGCUGGUGACCCUGCCCAGUUUGACGCAACAAAAUUGCUAAUGCGCAGUUUUGGUAAAGCAGUUGAUCGUGCAACUGUGCACUGUAUUGGGAUAUCAUAUACUGUAUGUAACUGGGCCUCCUGGGCUCCUGACCAGUACAAGUUUGAUUCGU